Molecule: ribosomal RNA, 445 nt
Filed under: uncultured bacterium
Lineage: Bacteria
Description: partial 16S ribosomal RNA
Rfam family: Bacterial small subunit ribosomal RNA
Source: RNAcentral
AACGAACGCUGGCGGCAGGCUUAACACAUGCAAGUCGAACGAGCUGGGGGCUUCGGUCCCCGAUGAUGGUGGCGCACGGGUGAGUAACACGUGGGAAUAUGCCCUUUAGUACGGAAUAACCAAGGGAAACUUUGGCUAAUACAGUAUAAGCCCUUCGGGGGAAAGAUUUAUCGCAAUAGGAGUAGCCCGCGUGUGCGUAGGUAGUUGGUGAGGUAAUGGCGCACCAAGCGGACGAUCAGUAGCUGGUCUGUGAGGCUGAUCAGCCACUCUUGAGCUGAGACGCGGCCCAGACUCCUACGGGAUGCAGCAGUGGCUAAUACUGCACAAUCGGGUCAAUCCUGAUCCAGCCAUGCUGCUUGAGUGAAUAAGUCCUUCGGGUUGUAAAGCUCUUUCGACGGGGACUAUGAUGACGGUACCCGUAGAAUAAGCCCCGGCAAACUUCGUG